This 383-nucleotide non-coding RNA is filed under the name Pongo abelii (Sumatran orangutan). Lineage: Eukaryota; Metazoa; Chordata; Mammalia; Primates; Hominidae. The record is from RNAcentral.
UGCUUCCUUAUUGCUCUUAGAAUGAAACCCAGAUUGACUAAAGAGCUCCUCAGUCCUCUAGGGCCUGGCCCUUUUUUCUCAUUGAUCAUACUGCCUGCUCCUAUUCUGAGGGUAUGAGGAACCUCGAGGAGGGAGGAUAUUCUGUUUCCCUAUAACGUUUUGAAGAUUCUCAGUAGAAGCAGCCUGUUUUUGACAAAAACAUCAUCAGAGUACAGCUCAGCACAUUCUCACAGACGGAAUCGCCCUGGUCCAGACAUUGUCAGCAUCCUGGAAGCUGCCAUGCCACCUAUCACCAAGCCCACCAAGGGAGCCACUACGCUGACUUCUAAAGACAGAUUAUUUUUGUCUGUUUUUGUGCUUUAUAUAAAAAUGUAUGCUCUGUG